AUUUAUUAAAUAUUUACGUAAUAAUUAUUUUACAUCUAAAAAAUUUAAAAUAUUAUUUAAAAAAAUAUUUAUUUCUUGGUUAGGAAGCUUUACUAAUUACACAGUCCUGCGAGGUACAGUUUCAAGAACUAUGAAAUUGCUCCAGCACGUCAGGUUUUUUUGAAAUUUUAGCUUAAAUGGUCAAAAAAUGGCUAUUUUAACCAUUUUUAUGAAUUUCUAUUAGAGAACCAAAUUUUUUUUUUAAUUUUCCACAAUUGCAUCGCAUAGUACUACUACUUAGCUUUAAAAUCCAUUUUUCUUAAUUAUUCUACGAUUUUUUAAAAUGAAGAUAUACAAUUUUGAAUUCAAGACUUUUAGUCAUGGAAAGUCACCCCUUUUACCGCGCCGAAUGCGUUCAAUUUCUGAUAUUAGAUUCGUAAUUAAUUAAUAGCGACCUCAAGAACUCCUGUGUAGGCAGAAUAAUAAAGAACUUGUCAAAAAGUAAGUUUGGCGCGGUAAAACGGGUGACUUUCUACGACUAAAAGUCUUGAAUUCAAAAUUGCAUAUCUUUAUUUUAAAAAAUCGUAGAAUAAUUAAGGAAAAUGGAUUUUAUAGCUAAGUAGUAGUACUAUGCAAUGCAAUUGUGGAAAACUGAAAAAAAAUUUGGUUCUCUAAAAAAAAUUUAUAAAAAUGGUUAAAAUAGCCAUUUUUUUGAUCAUUUAAGCUAAAAUUUCAAAAAAACCUGACGUGCUAGAGCUAUUUCAUAGUCAGAUUCGUUUUUAGCGCAAAAAAUCUACAAGAACCACCUCCACCUAUUCUUGAAACUGAGAAAAAUGCAAUUUCGCAGGACUGUAUUAUGGAAUGUAAAUCAAGUGUGAAGGAACAGUGAAUUUAUAUAUAUGUAUAAAUAAAACCUCUAAGAGAAACAAAUUGAAACAUCGAAACAUAAAGAAAGUGAAGAUUAAGAUUGCAUUUCUCGACAAUCAUAUAAAAGGGUGUCGUGGCUGUGAGAAUACACGUAAGGAUCAAAUAGGACCAAAGUUCUCUAACGAGAGAGUGUGGAUCUAUGUGGAAAAUCAGUGUAUUUCUCAUGCGGGUCAUACAUAUUGCGACAGGUGGAUAUUGAUAGUGACGUGUAUUUUAAUUACAGUUACGUGCGUAAGUGGGCGCCCGUAUCGAUAGAAUCGGCGUCAGCCGAUACCUACUAAUAUGGACGAUGAAUAUGCAGAAUAUAGAUGUGCCGCAUGUAAGAAGAUAAUAAAAAGUUAGGUUGUGACAUGUAAGUCAUGUGUUAAACUUUUUUUUCAUCCAGGAUGUGCAAGUAAACAUAAGGUGUACGAUAGAAAUCGAGAAUAUGUGUCAUGUUCUGGCCUAUUUGAGAAGUUUACAGUUGACAGUGAAAAAGAUAUGAAUGUGAAAAAACACCAAUACCGACGGGAAGCGGAAGAGAAAGACUGAGUUCAACAGGAUCGACAGGAAGUGGCGGAAGCAGAGUGAUAGGUGGGCAUGGAUAUGAAAAUUGAUUGACUAGUAAGAACUAUGAGAGAGAUGAAAGAUGAAAUGACAUGCAAACGAGAAAUAAAAAUGCUGAUUAAGGAGACAGUGCAAGAGGAAAUUAAAGCUAUUAAACAAGAAAUUGAAGACUUAUGAAAAGUAAUACGAGGAGGAAUGCAGGCAUCAGCGGAAAAUGUGCGCGGCAGUUACAGGGAGGCUACGAAGAAAAAGAAGGAAAACAUCAUAAUUAUCAAACUAAAGAUUCAGCAAGAAAGUGAGACCACUAAAAAAAUAAUAAAAGAAAAGAUAGAUAUUAAGAAUAUGCCAAUGGGGAUAACAAAGCUACGAAAAGGAAGGGAAGGAACAGUAAUUCUAGACUGCGAGACCGGAGACGAAAUAGAUAAAUUAAAAGAUGUAGUACAGUCUAAGUUAGGUGACAGUUAUAAUGUUACAGAAUCACUACAAAAGAAGCCGAAAAUAAAAUUGUCAAUUGUUGUGAGCGAAACACUCACAACCAAUAAAUACAUAUUAUAAAA
This 2009-nucleotide long non-coding RNA is filed under the name Monomorium pharaonis (pharaoh ant). RNAcentral's name for it is "uncharacterized LOC118645995". The record is from RNAcentral. Lineage: Eukaryota; Metazoa; Arthropoda; Insecta; Hymenoptera; Formicidae.